CGGGGAAGGCGCCGGUGGGAGGCAAGGCACGGAUGGACUUUACCUGCGCACGCGUCGCAGCCAUCUCCGCGCACAGUGGUGGCCACCGCGACUGGUGCUGAAGUGUUGGCGCGUGCCGGGCGCUCCGCUGGGACCCGGGUUGCUGGCCCUGAGUCUCAGCUUUCUCAUCUGUACGGUUGGGACAAGUACAGUAACCCUCGCCCGUCAAGACGGGCCAGGGCUGUGGCGAGGGUCCACGCCUUAGAGCAGGCAGGAGUAGGGCUGAUUGGAGCCAUUGUACAGUGUCGGGAACAUACCAGGACACUGAGAAUAGUGUCAUGUCAUAAGGACCCAGAGCAGAUGGACCCUGCUGUGAUGCACAAAGAGGACCACGCAAGAUAUGAUAAAGAUCUACAUCACUGAAUUUUGGUUCCAUUUUUGUAUCUCAGCUUCCAGGAAAUAAAAAAGAAUUCUAACAUU
RNAcentral lists this long non-coding RNA (459 nucleotides) under Homo sapiens (human). RNAcentral's name for it is "non-protein coding lnc-FOXD4L5-25:8". The record is from RNAcentral. Lineage: Eukaryota; Metazoa; Chordata; Mammalia; Primates; Hominidae.